CCUACGGGGGACAGCAGUGGGGAAUAUUGGACAAUGGGGGAAACCCUGAUCCAGCGACGCCGCGUGAGUGAAGAAGUAUUUCGGUACGUAAAGCUCUAUCAGCAGGAAAGAAAAUGACGGUACCUGACUAAGAAGCCCCGGCUAACUACGUGCCAGCAGCCGCGGUAAUACGUAGGGGGCAAGCGUUAUCCGGAAUGACUGGGCGUAAAGGGUGCGUAGGUGGUUUGACAAGUUGGUAGCGUAACUCCGAGGCUCAACCUCGGCACUACUACCAAAACUGUCGGACUUGAGGGCAGGAGGGGCAAUUGGAAUUCCUAGUGUAGCGGUGGAAUGCGCAGAUAUUAGGAGGAACACCGGUGGCGAAGGCGAAUUGCUGGACUGUAACUGACACUGAGGCACGAAAGCGUGGGGAGCAAACAGGAUUAGAUACCCGGGUAGUC
Molecule: ribosomal RNA, 440 nt
Filed under: uncultured bacterium
Lineage: Bacteria
Description: partial 16S ribosomal RNA
Rfam family: Bacterial small subunit ribosomal RNA
Source: RNAcentral